This 460-nucleotide ribosomal RNA is filed under the name uncultured bacterium. Its description in RNAcentral is "partial 16S ribosomal RNA". It matches the Rfam family "Bacterial small subunit ribosomal RNA", at positions 338 to 795 of the family's 1533-position model. The record is from RNAcentral.
CCUACGGGUGACAGCAGUGAGGAAUAUUGGUCAAUGGACGAGAGUCUGAACCAGCCAAGUAGCGUGAAGGAUGACUGCCCUAUGGGUUGUAAACUUCUUUUAUAUGGGAAUAAAACGUUCCACGUGUGGGAUUUUGUAUGUACCAUAUGAAUAAGGAUCGGCUAACUCCGUGCCAGCAGCCGCGGUAAUACGGAGUAUCCGAGCGUUAUCCGGAUUUAUUGGGUUUAAAGGGAGCGUAGGUGGAUUGUUAAGUCAGUUGUGAAAGUUUGCGGCUCAACCGUAAAAUUGCAGUUGAAACUGGCAGUCUUGAGUACAGUAGAGGUGGGCGGAAUUCGUGGUGUAGCGGUGAAAUGCUUAGAUAUCACGAAGAACUCCGAUUGCGAAGGCAGUUCACUGGACUGCAACUGACACUGAGGCUCGAAAGUGUGGGUAUCAAACAGGAUUAGAUACCCCUGUAGUC